This 476-nucleotide ribosomal RNA is filed under the name Escherichia coli. Its description in RNAcentral is "bacterial SSU rRNA". It matches the Rfam family "Bacterial small subunit ribosomal RNA", at positions 1048 to 1524 of the family's 1533-position model. Lineage: Bacteria; Pseudomonadati; Pseudomonadota; Gammaproteobacteria; Enterobacterales; Enterobacteriaceae. RNAcentral also lists the same sequence under 1 other name. The record is from RNAcentral.
GCUGUCGUCAGCUCGUGUUGUGAAAUGUUGGGUUAAGUCCCGCAACGAGCGCAACCCUUAUCCUUUGUUGCCAGCGGUCCGGCCGGGAACUCAAAGGAGACUGCCAGUGAUAAACUGGAGGAAGGUGGGGAUGACGUCAAGUCAUCAUGGCCCUUACGACCAGGGCUACACACGUGCUACAAUGGCGCAUACAAAGAGAAGCGACCUCGCGAGAGCAAGCGGACCUCAUAAAGUGCGUCGUAGUCCGGAUUGGAGUCUGCAACUCGACUCCAUGAAGUCGGAAUCGCUAGUAAUCGUGGAUCAGAAUGCCACGGUGAAUACGUUCCCGGGCCUUGUACACACCGCCCGUCACACCAUGGGAGUGGGUUGCAAAAGAAGUAGGUAGCUUAACCUUCGGGAGGGCGCUUACCACUUUGUGAUUCAUGACUGGGGUGAAGUCGUAACAAGGUAACCGUAGGGGAACCUGCGGUUGGAUC